RNAcentral lists this long non-coding RNA (19630 nucleotides) under Gossypium barbadense (sea-island cotton). RNAcentral's name for it is "long non-coding RNA (GBAR_LNC012315)". Lineage: Eukaryota; Viridiplantae; Streptophyta; Magnoliopsida; Malvales; Malvaceae. The record is from RNAcentral.
GGAUCCUGGGACGGGUCGACGCGCGGAGUCCCCUCCCCUAAACGACGCCGUUUUUGGAGCCACUGAAUCAAGCCCAAAACGACGCCGUAUUCAAACCUUUAAAAGAGCCAAAAUUUGGCUAUUCAGCCAUUUUAAACCCUAGCCCCCAUUUUGCUUUACCAGCCGACCUUUAGCUAAAUCAUUUGGCCCUCGCCUCCAUCGUCCCCAACCGCAGGCACAUUCUCCUUUUGAAAACAAUUUUCAACCUCGAGACCCCUCCUUCACCCUAGAUUUCAACGAAGCAAGGAGGAGUCAACGGCAGAUUCGCGAGGUAAGCCUCCUAUUCUCUUCUCUUUUUGAAUAUCAGAAUCACAAAUCCAAAAAGAAAAACUAAAGAAAAUAAAGUAUUUAGGGAUUUUUUGAAUAAAAAAUCACCUUGCUCUUUUUUUUGAUUGCUUUGUAUUGCUUCUCUGUGCGUAACGUUUACAAAGAUUAAAAUCAUGGCUUUAUAGCCGAAAAAAAAAAGAAAAAUCAAUGAAAAAAAUACCAUAUUUUCUUUGUUUGUAUUAGCUGCUGUGGUUUGUCUGUUCUUCGCAGGUACGGGGUGCGUAGGCAUCAUACGGAGGUUGUGUUGGCGCUGGCGUGGUUGCUGGAGGGUACGGAGGCUAGGGCUGCUGCGGCGCAAGCAGAAACUACUAAGGUUUCUGCCUUGGCUCUUGUUUUAGGCAUUGGGCCUAUGUAUUAGGUUUUGGGUCUAAGCAAUGGGUUUGGGCUAGGGUAUUAGUUAUUGGGUUUUGGUUUGUAAAUGGACAUUUAAUUAAUGGACAGUUAAUUUUUUUGUUUAUUAUUAUAUAUAUAUUUUUAUUUUAGACUUUGGUUCUGACGUGGGCCCAAGCAAAUUGGCUCAUUUACACCUCAACUUGAGUUUUUCAAAAAUAGAUAAAGUUAUUAAAUUAAUACUAGCUCGUCGCAUAGUGCUCUAUUAAAAUAAAUGCUCCCAAUCUCUAUUGGAAUUGUAAAACUUCUCCGGUCUUUUAAUUUUUGGGGAACCUGCCUUGAAAUAAUAACACUACAAGAGGCACUAAAAUUAACUUGUUCUCCUACCUUAAUUUUCCUAUGCUUAGACAUAAUUUCAUUUAAAAACUUGGCGUACUUAGGGACUUUCUUAAUUAACUCAAUUAAAGGAAGAUUUAUUUUUAGUGUUUUGAACAAGUUCAGGAAACUUACAAACUCAUCUUUAUCCCGUUUUUGCUUUUAUUCUAGUCUUGAAAGGAAUGGGACUUUUGUAACAACAACAUUUUUAGCUUUUUCUUUCUGUGGCCCCUCUGUCGACACAAUUACCUCAUUUAAUUCUGGUUCAUCUUCAGCCUCUAGGGAUUUUUCUGGAGGAUCAUCAGAAUUCUUCAUAUUUACCUUUAAAGUAAGAUUUUCUUGACUACUCAGUACUUCGCCCGAUUGGAGUGCUAUUGCUUCACAUGCUCCUUACUUUCCCUCCAAGGAUUAUUUUCUGUAUUGUUGGGGAUUCAGGUGCCAAUUUGCCUUUUGAUGUCACCCAUCGUUCUCAUUAAUUAGCUUAUUUGAUCCUCAAGUUUAGUCAAUGUUUUGGUUGAGUUGGUGCACUUAGACUGCACCUACUUUAUGUCUAUUUUCGUUGACUUCAUCUCUCAUUCGAUUCUAUACAACCAUUGACCACAUGCAAUAUGGUCACUUGGGUUGACCCUAUCCUAAGAUUUCUACAAAUAAGGAGGUUGAUAAUUAGUAUUUUUUGCUUGAUUCAAACUAUUACCUCCUUUUUGGUUUCCUCCCUAUCUCAGAUUUGGGUGAUCUAUCUAGUAGGAUUAUAGGUAUUUGAAUAAAGGUUUCCACCCCUAUUUCUGAUAUAAUUCACACCUUUGGCAGGAUUGUUAAUGUAGUGAAAAAGUAGUUUGUCUUCUCCAUACAUAGACGGUUUAUUAGCAUAUUUGAUACGGUUAAGUCUAUCUGCUAGCUUAAUACUUGCCAUCCUCUUGGAUAACUUUCACCGUGGCAGUUUUCUAGCCAUAUGUGAAUCUUCCAAUGGGCUAUUGAUAAUAGUUCAGCUCCAUGUUUUCAAUUAUUUCAAACACAUCUUCGUAUGUUCUGUUCAUGAGGGCUCUUUCUGUUGCUCUUUCAAAUCUUGAUCUUGCAUUCGCAUCCAACCCAGUAUAAAACACUUGCAGUCGCAUCCACUCAGAGAAUCUCUAGUGUGGGCACUUUUGAAUCAACAUUUUGAAGUGCUCCUAUACCUUAUAGAAACUUUCCCCUUCCAUCUAUCUAAAGACAACAAUCUCUCUUUUUACUUGAACCACUUUGCUAAUAGGGAAGAACUUUUGCAAGAACUUUCUAGGAAGCUCGUCCCAUGUCCUAAUAAACCUUGGUGCCUGAGAAUCUAAACAGUAAAAGGCAUUAUCAAUCAAAGAAAAGGGAAAAAACCAAAUAUAAAUAGCAUUAUCAAUGACCUCGUUGUACUUAAAAGUAUCACACAAUUGGAGAAACCGUUUUAAUUGUUGAUUUGAAUCCUCUGUCAUUAUGCCCCUAAAUUGCAAGUUAUUCUAGAUCAUCUGAAUCAUUGUCAGUUUAAUCUCAAAAUUAUUUGAUGUAAUAUUCAGCCUUGUUAUACUUUCCUUAACCAUGUCUAGACUUGGUAAUGCGUUGUCUCUUAAGGUUCUCACGUUACGAGUCAUGUGCACGUUCACAGGUAGUGGUGUUGGUGCUGGUUGAUUUUGCAUCUACUGCUACUAAUGUUGCUGUCAAAGAUUUCUUUAGAUUAUUCUCUCUAGAUCUAUGACUGCUACAAUAGGUGUGCCUCUACUACGAGUCAUACACUAAACCCAAAAAGAGAAUCUUAGGGGUAAUAAAUAAAAUAAAAUUGUUUUUAUAACCUUAAAAUUUUCUAUUUAUUCUUUCUGAAGUGCAGAUUUUAAAAUCAAAGCAGUUACGUUGCCUCCUUGGCAACAGUGACAACAACUUGACUGUAUCCGGACAUACUCACGUCUAGAGUGUGAAUACUAUAGCAAAAAAUAGAGAUAUAUGAGGCGAUAUCUGCAAGUAUAAGGAUCCAGUUGUAAUAUAGUUACAAUGAAGUAGGUGAGUAAUUCGAGGAUCAUACCCAAGGGAGGCGAGUGCUAGAUCAAUUUUAAUCUAAACACCAAAAGGUCUAAUUAGUACUUUAAGUUAGUUAUAGUACAAUAGUAAUGAAAGAAAGUUUUUAAGAUUUUUUUAUGAUAACAAAAUAAAAUAACAUAAAGAAAUAAAAUUCAAGAGAUUAGAGAAUGGGAUAAAUCAAAUCUGAUUAUGGGUGAUUAGCUCGUUGUGGUAUUUCCCAUCAAAUUCUCUUUUAGUUCCUCGUCAAUUAACUCAUCACUAUCCCAACAAGAUCUUCCAAUUUUUGACUCAAAUAACGAGUCAGUAAGAACUACUUAUCUUCCGUCCUCACAGUCCAAACUGGUUUGGGGUGAAGGUGUUUAUGGCCAAACCAAUUUUAGGUUAACUCCCACCUUGGUUACUUCCCAAGGUUAUCAUCCCUAAGGUUUUAAGUUCUUCCUUUCCCAAAUAGAUAAUCCAUUAAGUAACCCGACAAAAUAGUUAAUGGAUGAUACCUCCACUCGCUAAUCCCCAAUAAAAGGACUAGUUCCUCAUGGAUUUCAUAAACAAUAUGGAAUUGAUGUAAAGAGAAAACAUGAUAAAUGAACUGAAGUAUAGAGUUUAAGAAAACACCUGAUUUGUAUUAAAAAUAAAUCAAAUUCACAGAGUUUGACUAUCUCCACAAGUCAGAUCUCUUAAGAUAAACAAGAGCAACUUCAAGAAUAAAUCAAAAACCUAAAAAGGAAGAAAAGCUAAACUGAAAUAAAAAGCAGAAAACUAAGCUAAGUAAUUGGUGUCUUUUACAGGUGACAAAUGAGACUAUUUAUAAAUCUCAAUUGGUCAUCGUCCUUAACCAUAGGUUAGAUGACGUUCCCAAGCUUUAAGUUUCAUUGUGCAGACUAAAACGCCCCUUGGCUCGUGUUAUUUUCUGUCUAAAGUCGAUGUCACAACACUCUCGGACCUGUUUCAUGCCAUAAGAGUCAAUAUACUCCUCUUUGGGAUAUCUUUAGGGGUAUGUCGCAACACCAUUAAGCUGUGUUGUGACAUUGAAGGUAAUUUCGUGAUUUCUUCAUUCUACUCCUUAUGUUGCGACAUUGAGCAUUCUGUGUUGUUACAUAUUGACCAAUAUCUAUUUUGUAACAGCCCGUUUUUUAGUGAAAUCGGAAUAGUGGUUUCGGGCCACAAAUCUGAUCCAAAAUAUAUUUUAAUUUUAUUUUACCAUAUAGCCCGUAAUAUGAUAGAAAUGACGUGUGAAAAUUUUGAUAUGAAAAUUUUAUCGAUUUAGUGCCUAAUUACAAGAAGAACUAAAUCGCAUAAAAUGUGAAAGUUGAAUUCUAGUAGCUAUGAGGAUCAAAUAGCUAUGGAAUUCAAAACUUAUAGCACAUUUGGUUCACUGUAAUGGAAUAGGGCUGUAAUUGAAUAGAGCUGUAAUGGAAUAGAGCUGUAAUAAGUAAUUCUACUUUUUGGUUGAAUGGAAUGGAAUAGAACUGUAAUAGUAUUCUUGUGUUUGGUUGAAUGGAAUGAUGUUGUAAUAGGAUAAGAAAAAAAACUAAAAUGACCAAAAUACCCUUAACAGAAUUUUUUUUGUUAGGCAGAUGAUUAUUAUUAUUAUUAUUAUUAAAUUUUAACAAGACUAUUAUUAAAAAUAAUUUAAUAAAAAUAAUAAAUAAUUUAAUCAUAUUUUAACAUAAUUAUUAUUAAAUAUAAUUUAAUAAAAUAAUAUAUAAUUUAAUAAAAUUCUUAAUAUAAUUAUUACUAUAUGAAUUAAAAAAUCAUAAUAUAUAAUACUAUAAAAAUAAUAUAUAAUCUAUUUUAUUAUUUUUAAACUGCACUACAUAUUUAAUGUGCUAAAAUAUCAUUAGUGAAACAAAUAAUUUGAUUAUUCUACAAUACAAAACAAAAUAUAAGAAGUAAUAAAUAACUUGAGAAUUAUAUUUCACAUCCAAACAUAAUAUUCAUAUAUUAACAAAAAGUUACAUGAUUUCAUUAGUUUAUAUGUCAUCAUCCAUAUGUUAUAAAAUUUUACAACCUCAAAAAGUUACAACAUUGUAAUGACAUUCUAUCAUGUCAUUAUACCAUCCAAAUAUUACAAACACAAAAAGUUACCAAAAUAUCAUCAACAGAACCAUGAUUUUUAAUGGUCAGUAAGAAAUCUUUUGACCCAUUCCAAUCGAUUAGUUAGAUACUUCAAAUCGAAGUGAAGCAUGAUAGAAGAUUAUCAGACAAUAUAAAACAAUCAUUGAUUGCAUUAAAAAAAGAGUAGGUUUGAUUGUGGUAUAUAUGAUUAUUAGAGUGUAGUGUUUUUGGAUUUCAGUGUCUUUUAUUUUUCUAGGUAUGAGAGAUGGGUUGGGUAUAACUAGAUCUUAAUAUCAAUGGGUCCUUGUAAUUAAUGAUAGUUGAGAACAAUAUAACGGUGUAAAGAUAGAAUAAGAUACUUUGGUUUCAAAAGUAUCUUCCACUUUAAUUUUCUAUUAUAAAGAUAUGAUUAUUUUUUUAACUUCUUUAAAUUACUUUUAUAAAUUCAAUAAUGAAACCAAAAACCUAGCAUUUAAGGGGUUGAUAUAUAUUAAUUAAUAAUAACAAAAGACUCAUUAACAACAUUUCUUUUAAGCAAAGAUUAAGCAUCACCCAAGUUUCCAUCCUUGUCAAUCUGCAACCUGUUUGUUUAUUUUUAACUAGAUAUACAAUAAUUUCUUUUAAAAAUAAAAUAAAAUUACAAGCUAAAUAACUACAAUAAAAAUCGAAUAUUACGAUACUAAUUAUAUACGUGGGACUUAAACUCAUUACCAUUAAAUUAAGGUAUCUUAAGUUAAAUUAGACUAGAUUAUGAUACAUGAUUUAUGUAAUUCAUCCCCUUCCUAUAUUUGUAAGGAUAAAAACAAAAAGAUAGUUACAAUAAUUUAUUUAGCUAUUUAAAUUUUUUUAAUUAUUUUAGUUUUUUUUAAAUUCUUGGUUUUUUUUAGCUUUUAAACUUGUGUUAUUUGUCGAAUCACGAUCUUAGAUCAAUAAGUAAUUAAUUUUUUAAAAUAUAAAAAUUUUAAAAAUUUGUUUAAGAAAAACUAAAAUGUAUUAAAACUAUUAAAAAUAAAAAUUACAAAAAGUAUUUUUUAAUUUUUAAAAAUUAACCCACGUCAACAAAGUUAACACACAAACUUUUUCAUUCAUUUCGGAGUGAUUUGAUAAAUAAUGUAAGCUCAAGGGAUAAAACAAGUGAAAAUUUAAAUGGAUGAUUAAAACGGCUUUUUUGUAAAGUUAAAGGACAAAAUAAGUCAUUAUACAAAAAAUAUUAAAAGAAAAAGAAAGCAACUCACAAGUAAAAUGUUGUGGCAAAGUUUACCACUCAGCAACCACAGUAUAAUGUUACUUUUCCAACCAAGUUUCAAGCAAAGCCUGGAUGUGACUUGCCAUGAAAAUUUUAUCACUUUGCAAGUUGGCAACUACCCUACAAUCUAUAUACAACAAUGCUCUGCAGAUGAUGAGGAUCAAAUACUCAUUUCAUCUAUGAUUGCGGAUAUAGAACAUAGAGACUGUAAUUCCCACAAUAAUCUAUACAUAAUCAUGUUAAGCAUCUCAUGUUCUUACAUAUGAUUCACACAUUCCUUUCUGCUUGGAAUAAAGCCACCACUAAACCAAGUACCAGGUGUGCUAACAAAUAAAUAUACUUUCUUGCAAUUUUUAGCUAUUUGUUAUAAGCUAAGUAACCCGAACACUGUCCUAAAAGAUUCUUUUUUUGUUUUUUUAUUGCCAGAAGAAUCCAGAAAAAGUUCUAAUAUAUACAUUGUUCAUGUAUUCGUAUCCAACAAACACUCACACACAUGAAAAAUUCAGAAGCAAGGAAUUAAAAAUGUAGUGGUGUGUGUAACCCACAGGCCUCAACCAUGUCUUGUUUUUGUGAUUAGGGCUUUAAACACCACCAAAUUUGGAUUUAAGGAGCUGGUUACCAUCACAAAAGCAUAUCAAAUAAACUGCAUUGUGCAUAUUAUAUAGCCAACCCCUGUAUGCCAUAUUAAAAUCAUUCCUAAAUUGACAAUCAAUACAUUGGGUACUCAGUCAAAUUUUCCAUCUAAAUCAUCAUAUAAGAAUUAUAUGAGGAUGCAAAAUUGAAGAUGUCUCACCUCACAAUCUAAUGUACUUCCAUAGAAAAGGACAUCCCCCAACAAACAAAAUUGUAUAGAAUUGUUGAGGCAGGUCUUUAUAUUAAAAUGAACCUGAAAUAGUAGAGGAAUCUGUUCAUCUAAUAGGUGUAGUUAAAGCUUAGCUUAAAUAACUUUCGAAACCUUCGAAAUUCAGACUUUUUUAGGGGAAGUAGUAGUGAAUGUUGCAACGCGAAAUUCAUGAUAAUGGAAGUUUGGAAGUGAUGCGUCUUCAGCUAUUAGAAUAAUAGGAAAAGAGAAUUCAAGUUGGAAAGGUGAUUGGUGAAUAGGACAGGCACUUAGCACUGUCAUUUCUUCAGCCUUGAAAUGCUUUUGUUCUGGCCAGCAACCUCAACCAAAAUGAUCAAUUGCGCCUUAAAGUUUAUGUUAAUAGAAGGGCCAAGUCUAAACGUAGGAUCUGGAAUCCUGCGAAUCAACGUCUGAAAUUAAACGUAAAAAAUUAUGAACAAGUAAGGGUAACAUUUAUUAUUAUUAUUAUAAAUAAAUGAAUAAAUAGAAGUGAAACGUAAAAUGUUUAAACCAAAAUUUCUUUGUUUUAGAAGUUUAUGAUUAGGUCUUCUUAAUUGGUUUUAAUUUAAUUCUUAACUUUAAUUUGUUUUAUUAUUGAAUUUCAUUUAAAUUUAUGAAAGUGAGUAUUCUCAUGUGUUAAAACAAGGUUGACUUUAAAAAUCUAUGAACUUUUUAUUUUAUUUCAAUUAAAAUUUAGUUUAAUAAUUUUAAUGCAUUUGAAUAAAUUUAAUUUAUUAUCAUCAAUAGUUGUUUCAUACUAUCACUUUUUCUUUAUAUAUAAUUGUUUAAUUAUUAUUAUUAUUAUUAUAUAUUUUUUCACACUUUAAUAUAUAAGUUAAAAUUAUAGUGAAAUGGUAAGAAGGUUAAAAUAUAAUAAUUGAAAAUGAAUAUUCUUUUUAAUGCCACACAGCCUAGAACACGGGCAUGUGUCUUGGCUGUGUGAAACUUGUACCUAAUUCGAAUUAAAUUAAUUAACCACACGGCCUAGCACACAGGCGUGUGGCAUGGCCGUGUGUGCAAGUCAAAGAGUUACAUGGGGUCAAACACAGCCUCUAACGUGGGCAUGUCCCAGGGUCACACGGGCGUGUGAGCCCUGCACCUUAGAAAAUUUUUUUAAUUUCGCGAAGAAUUCUUUGAGAUCUCGAUUAAGUCCCAAUUCAAUUCUAAUGCUCGUAUUAGACCUCGAGGGUCCAAUUAAGGGAUGUUAUGAAUAAUCUUGGUUAGUGAAUAGUGACUUGCAUGAAUUAAUUGAAAAAUGUUCUGAACAUUUUGGUAAUGCUCUGAUACACUGUUCUGGCGAUGGGUACAGGUUAGGGGUGUUACAUAUUUUAUACGUCUUCUUAUGGUCAUUUGCACACUUACAAAGUUCAUUAGCUCACCCUUUGGCCUCAUUCGGCCCCUAAGUUCAAUAAAAGACUGAAUUUGUGCAUUUUAUUAGAUUUAACAAAGCUUACUAAAACAUAAUAAUAUCUUAAUGAUAAUGCUUAAUUUCAAGCUCCUAAAGUGCGAAAAGUAGUUUAAUCUGCUACACCGAAUUACUGCAGAUCAACUGUAACAUCGCCUCUGUACGAGAAAUAAUUAUUAGCCAAGGGUAUUUUCGUUCGCACAACCAAACAUUAACCACAAGGACAGCAACUAACCUAGGGUUAAGAAUACAACCAACCCAAAGUCUAUAAAUAGGCUCAUUUAGCACAUGUUAGACACAUCUUUCAUAUUGUAUGAUUUUCUCUAUAGAUUUAAUAUUUAGUUUUUCCCUUUUCUUAGGUUUUUAGAUUUCUAUGUUUGUUAUUUAUUUUUGUGGAGAAAUCAGAUUCUGGAAUUACUUUCAAACACUGUGAGGAUUAUGCACUUAAUUUCAAUACAAAUGAGGCUUUUUCUAAACUGUAUUCUUGAAUUGUUCUUUAUGUUCGUUAUUUCCAUCAAGUUUAUAUCAUUUAUUAGAUCCUUGAGGAACUAAUCCUCCUAUGGGGGAUUAGCAAUUGGAGGUAUGAAUAAUUAACAUUUUUGUAGGGAUUUCUUAACGGAUGAGCUAUUUAGGAAAGGAAAAAUCUAAAACCUAGGCCUAACAACCCUACGAAGUCAUCAAGGUCAAAAUUAACCAAAAGUUUGGCCAAUCCAUGAACACCUUGACCCUAAAUCGAUUUGAGCUGUAAGGUUGAAAGAUAAGUAGUUCUUGUCGAUUCAAUAUUUCAGUGGACAAAUUGAAAGAUUCUACUAGGGUAUUGACCAGUUGAUUGAACAAGAAAGCCCAAGACAACAGUUGAUUAUAACUACCAAAGUGAGCUAAUCGUGCAUACCAUAUUUGAUACAUAUUGACUAUUGGAUUUCUCUUUUUUCAUUUAUUUCUUUUCUUAUUAUUUUUAGGAUAGUUUAUCAAAAAUCUUUCUUUUGAUGCUUCAUACUAUAAUCCAAUUAAAAUACUAAUUAGAUCUAUUUAUAUUUAGGUUAAAAUUAAUUUAAUGCUUGCCUCCAUUGAGUAUGAUCCUCGGAGUACUUACCUACUCCGUUGUAACUAUAUUACAACCUCACUUGUAUACUUGCGGAUAUUGCUUUUCACAUCUUUUGUGUAGGAUUUUUACUCUGGACGUUGGUACGUUCGGAGGCGGUCAGUUUGCAAUCAACUACAACUCCGUAUUCAUAUAGCUAAUCCAUACCAAAAAUAAUAUAAAAUUCAGGAAACGAAAAUGCCAUAAGACUAACUGGAAAUUCGCAAUCUUUAAUUUUUUAAAGGGCAACACCUAUAUACUCUAUUUACUCUCUCACUUUUCCUGAAAGAAUUCAUUACUAUAACCUAAUGCUUAAUAAAUUCUAUUGGUAAUUCUUUUUCUUUGACUAAUGCCAUGCAAAUAUACGAAUAUGUGGCACUGGGAUCAAUCAAAUUAAUUACAAAUAAUGAAAAUAAUGAAAAUUUAUUGGUGAUUACAUCAAGUGUUUCUCCUUCCUAUCGAGUCCUGCUAGCGUAUGUGCAAGGUACCCAAUAUUCUGCUUUACAUAUUGUUUCCCUUGUUGACAUUUGACCACUUCCAUUACCAGUAACAAUUCUAGAUUUUUAGCCUCUUUGUUGUCCUAAGCUACCAUUCACUGACUGUUCUAUUGUAUUCUUUGAUAGUUUUGGGGAAUCCCAAAUCAUAUAAUUCUUAGGACCAUAUCAAAAACAAGUUUGAGAAAUCAAUUGAAACUCACCCAAAUGAGGUUUUUAACAGUGGUCGCACAACAUAAUAGAUUUCUUCCUAGAACCUCUAGUACUAGCCACUGAAGUUGUUUGUUGUGUUUGCCUUGACUAACCUCUAAUUUUCUGCUUUUCGAUGGGUGCUAAAUAUCUAGACCCUCUAAAAUAUCUAGUCCUCUUUGAUGACGGUGGUGGCACAAAGCUAGUUGCAACUUGUUUUCCAGAACUUUUCUCUUUCUUUCUACUUAACCCUUCUUCUAUCCUUAGAGUCCGAUAAACUAACAGUAGGAAAUCUUGUAAAUUCAGGGCAAGAAUAGGAACAAAGUGUAACAGCCCGAUUUAGGGCCUAGUCGAAACAGUGGUCUUGGGACCAAAAAUCUAAAGUUAGAAAGACUAUUUUAUUAUUAUUUUGAUGUUCUAGCAUUAAUAUAUUAGUGCAUGAAAAAAAUUGGUAAGUUAAUUUUGACGUUUGUGAGCCCAAUUACGAAAAAUGACCAAAUCGCAUAGUGUAAAAGUCCUAAAUUGAUAGCUAAAGGUGUUAUUUUGUUAGAGAACCAAAAUUUGGGGUCUUUAAUGGGAAAAUAGACCCUUAAUUGAUAGUAUAGCCGGCUAUGAGACAUAGGGGAGACAAUUUUCAAAAUUAGGUGGAAAUUUGGUAGCUAUUUUGACCAAAAAGAAAUAAAAUAGAAAAAGUUGUCAAUUUCUUUUCUUCUCAUCUCUUUCCACUGAAAAUAUCAGCCAUGAAAGGGGGUUUUAAAGCUUAAAUUUUUAGCAACUUGAAGCACUUGCAAGUAAGUGGUUUUGAUAGUUUCUCUUAAUGAUUUUUACAUUUUUUGACUCCUUGAAGCAUAAGCUUUCAAAUGAGGGGUCUAUUUUGCAAAAUGAUUAAAGAGUUUAAGGUUUUUCUAUGAAUGCAUUUGUAGUGUUUGCUGAGUUUUUAUGGAAGAAAAUGAGUCCUAGUUGUGUUAUAAACAACUUUUGUGAGUGGUGCUAGCAUGAAAACACCUAAAGUGACUACUUUGCAUAAAUUGCAAAAUAGGUGAUAAGUGUGUGAAAUAGUGGGGUUUUGGAGUUGUUAUAAGAGUAAAAAGAGUUUGGCUAGGUUGAAAUACGAAGAAAUUUGAUAAAAAUCAAUUUUCGAGUAUAGGGGCAAAAUGGUCAUUUUGCCUAAUACGUGAAUUUUGGAUUGCCUGCUUUUAUUUAGUGACUAAAUGAGUGUAUUUUUCUAAUAGAGAUCAAGAUUUUCCAAAUAUGAACCUAGAUCAAGGGAAAGCCAAGCAAAUCGACUAAACCGACUAGUUGUGUGUAUUUUUGUAAUCCGAGGUAAGUUGUAUAUAAAUAGUACAACUACAUUGCUAAUGUAUGUGUUGAAUUGCAUUUAAAUUUAAUAUAGCAUGAAUUGCUUGAUUGUGGAAUUGAGAAAGUAUGAUGAUAAUAGAGAUAGUAGAGUUCUCGUUGAACGUAAGAAAUAAUCUGGAUAUUCAUGUCGUGACAUUAGGGUCCCUUGUGUGAGCUAGUGUUAGACAUGUCUGGGACAUGCAUCGGCCACAUUAUAAGAGCCAAUGUAAGACCAUGUUCAAGACAUGGCAUCAGCAUUGAGAAAAUGACUAGUGUAAGACAUGUCUAGGACAUGCAUUGGGCUCGAGACGUAAGCCAGUGUAAGACAUGUUUGGGACAUGCAUCAGCUACGAGAUGAUAGUCAGUAUAAGACCAUGUCUGGGAAAUGGCAUCAACUUGAGAUAUGAACUAGUGUAAGACCAUGUCUGGGACAUGGCAUUGGCACCUUACCCAUGUUUGAGGCUUAAUGAAUACCCGGUGAUAUUCCGAAUGGUUCAACGAUGAAUGUUAAGUGCUUGGGCUAAUGAAGAAAGUAUAAUCAUGUUGUGAAUGGUACAUGUAUCUAAUUGGUACGUAUGAAAUAUGAGCUGAAUAUAUAAAAUGUGACUUGUAUGGAUGGUAGUAAGUUACAACUAUGCCUACUUUGAUGUUGUGAGCAUGUUGAUUAUGAAUAAAUGUUGUGGUAUACUUAUUUAUAUGAGACUUACUAAGCUUUAUGCUUACUCCCUUUCCUUUCCCUUUUCUUUCACUACCGCCUAACUGGCUCAAGGAUCACUGGAAGUCAGAGAUAUCGAUCACACUAUCAGCCGAAAUAUUUGGAAUAGUUGGAUUUAUAUUUUUGAAUAUGGCAUGUAUAGGAUUAGAACUUAUUAUUUUAAGUCUUGGAGAAUUGGCCAAAUGUGUUGGCUUGGGAUAGAUCCCACACUUAGUAUUAAGCCAUGAAUGAUGGCUAAUAUUUAUUUUGAGUUUAUAAAAGUUGCAUUUGCAUGGUUGAAUGAACGUCUAUUGUAGCUAAAUUGAUUUCGGGAAAUUAUGCUUGUUUUGGUAUUGGCUGGUAUUUGCAUGAAAAGAGGUAUGCAAGGGUGGCAAUGAGGUUCGAUAAAUAGCCUUAUAUUGUCCACAUGGGUAGACAUACGGGCAUGUGUCUAGGUCGUGUGUGACACACGGUCAACCCUAUGGCCGUAUGGUCCGGCCGUGUGACCCCUGCACGUAAAAAUUUCAAGUUAGUAUGCAUGAAAAUAAACACACGGGCAGAGACACGGUCGUGUGUCUCAGCCGUGUGGAGGCCACAGCCUAGUACACAGGUGUGUGCCAUGGCCGUGUGACAUUUUAGGGAUGCUGACGUCAGAAAUAGAAUACCCAUGUUUUUACACACGGGUUAAGACACGGGCGUGUCGUGGCCGUGUGAGGGACACAGGCCAUUGACACGGGCAUGUGUUUGGUCGUGUGAAAACCCUGUAGGUGUGAAUUAGAAUUUAAUUCGACACGGGUGUGGGACAUGGGCAUGUUCCAGGGUGCUUAGGUCAUGUGAGCCACACGGACCAUCAGUACGACCAUGUUGAAUUGGUCACACGGGCUUGUUACCCUUCCACAUAGGCGUGUGCCCUAUUUUAAGACAAAUUUCUUAAGGUUGGUUUAAGGACCCGGAAUGGUUCCGAAUAGUUUUUAACAGUCGAUUUGGGGCUCAUAGGCCCAUAGUAAGAAGUUUAAAGUAGAAAUUGAAAAAGUUUUAAUUUGGACCAAGUCUCGGUGACUUGAGACUGUUUGUAUGCAUGAGAUAAAGUUAGGUAAUGCCUCGUACUCUGACCCGGCGUGGGUUACGGGUAUAGGGUGUUACACAAAUAUUUCUUCAUUCAACCCAUACUCAAAUCGUUGGCACAUAUCUGCCACUGUAGCAACUAUUUCUCUAGCAUAUGUACUUAACUUGACAAAUUCUCUCUCAUAUUCUACCAUUGCCAUAUUGUUUUGUUUUAAAUCUAGAAAUUCAUGUUUCUUCUGCUCUAGGUAAAGCUAUCCUACAUACUCCUCUAUAUAUUGUAGUUCUUCGAAUACUCUCUAACUAUUUUUUAACAAUUCCUCAACUUCAGCAAGAUCACCAUCUUUUUUUCCUUUAAACUCCUCUGCUCUAUACUUUCUAAAAUACUCUAGAGGAGAUCGAUGGCUGAGGUGUAGGAAAAUAGGAGGGGUGGUGGUAGAACAUUGUUUGUUCUCACGAGUUUUUGUAACAACUGAUUCAUCGAUUGUAAAAUAGCUACGGUAAUUGAAACUUCUUCUUUCAGAAGAUUGCUUUUGUUCUUCUCUAGCCAACCCUAGAUUUACAGGGUCACCUAGCUCAUCUUGCACUUGAGGCUAGGUCAAUUCCUUUCUCUUUCCAUAUUUGACACCCUACUUUUAAGCUCAUCUUUCAAACCUUCUUGAGAUCUAUACGACAUCUUCAGAUUUCUCUAUAAUUCAUAAAUUCAUAAUUAACUAAACAUAAUCUCAUCACAUCAAUAUAUCUUAUAUGGCAUGUACAUCUAGACUCGUUCUCGACUUAAAUAUCAAAUAACCUAAGCUCUAAUACCACUAAAAGUAACGCCCAUAUACUCGACCCGGUUAUUGAACCAAGUAUAGAAGUACUACAUUGCAAAUCAAAAUGGUCAACUUAAUGUUUCAUUUAUAAAAACUUAAUUGUUACAAGUUACUCAGCUUAAAAUUACAUUAUUAAUAUUAAUUGCGAAAUCGAUAAAUAUAUCUUAGGUCAUCAUUGCAUUUACAACAACAUUUUGGGGUCAAAAAUAAAAUUUGGAGAAAUGCAGGGCACACGACCAUGUUCCCACGCCGUGUAUGUCUCUGAGGCCAUGUGGUUUAUUUAAACACUACCUCCAAUAAUCACACGGUCGUGUGUAUGACCCAUGUGAGCCACAAGGUCCUGUCCAUAGCUUGUGUAACAAACUAGAACUGUGUGGUUCUAAGAACAACUUUUCCCAUAAGAUACACGGUCGUGCCACUAGCACGUGUAUACCACACGAUCGUAUGGUUAGACUAUGUAACUUUCGAAAGCUGUGUCCCCUAUAGUUUGAAAUAUUUGAAAACUUCUAAAAAAAAUUCUUAUAACUUAUUCCCUACAAGAAAACUCAAUUUUCAUUCCAAUCAUAAUUCCAAUUUUAGUAUAAAAGACACUCUAAAACUUUUAGAUUAUCAUACAACAUUAAUAUACUAAGAUUUCAUUUAAAUCCUUCAAAAAUUAAAAGGUUUGUAACAUAGACCAUCAUACUUAAAUCCUUAACUUAAAAACCUAUGUACAUGUCUCUCUAACCCAAAAUUUAGAAGUCAUACUCUUUUUGGCGUUAGGAUGUAAUGAGACGAGCAAGUCUUAGACCACUUUCUAGCUUCUCCUCUCGUCUUUAACCUACGCAUUAAGCUAAAAUAGCUUAGUAAGUACUGCAAGAAUUUAAUCAUAAACCUACAUAUUAUAUUGUAAUUAAUAUGAGUAAUUUUCUAUAAUUUUAAUCACCCUCGAUUAAAUUAUACUUACCAAUUCACGUUUGACAUUUAUUGCCUAAAGUGGAAUGAUUAGAAUAAUUAGGACAUAUGGAAAGGAACUGAACAUCGCCAUCACGAAUAAACACCGCCAAAGCGGAUAACUGAGCACCGCUGAAGCAAAUAAACAAUAAGUGCGCAAUAUAUUCCUUAAUGGCAUGGCAUCAAUAUCCUAAUAAUUCACAUCCUUCUACUUGGCCGUGAUAUCAAUUAUGCAAAUUUUUAAUUUAGUCAUUGAUCUUAUAAUUUCACAUAUAACUUCCAUUUCAUUUAACAUCUUUACCCCACACACAAUAAUCUCUUUAUUCUUAUUCACAUUUUUAUACCAUAGUUUACCAUCUUUAUAAUUUAGUCAUUUACAUUGCUACUACAGAUAAAACUAAGAUUUAAACAUUUAAUUGGUAAUUUCUAUUAUAGAUAUCUAAAAAAAAUGAAAUUAAAUCCUUGUAGUACUUACAACCAAGGUUUGUUUAAUGAUUCUUCUUACUUCUUCAUUCAUUGGCUACACCUUUUUCUUUUUCUACAAUUUGGUCUUCUUCUUUCUUCUCUUUUUCUUCAUUUCCAUAACCAGUACAUAGCAUUUACUAGUUAAAAUAAUGUUUAGAUAACAUAUUUAUGCUCAAAAGUAAAAAUAAUAUGAACUUCAUAAAGAUUUUCCUAUCUCUUAUCGUGAUUUCAUGAUGUCACAAUUAACCCUAACUUUUCUCUUUCCUUUCAAGUAAUUAUCAACUCCUUUUUCAUGAAGCUAAAGUAUCUACCUUGCUCUACUCUUGAUUUGUUUGAGAAAUCAUGAAAUAAAAAUGAAGAAACAAGCUUGAAGGACACAAAAAUGGCGAAAAUGACUUAGAUGGAAUAAGAGUGAAAGUUUGGUUUUGAGAGAAAAAGGAAGUGACGGGUGGGUUAGAAGAAAAAGAUGAAGACUUUCUCCUCUUUUCUUCUUUCUUCUACAAUCUUCAUAAUAAAAAUAUCAUGAUUUUUACGAAAAAUGGCUAAAUUGUCCUUCAUCCUAUCAUCUGUACACUUUGGGCCAAAUCAUUAUCCAUAAAUAUCUUACUUUGCUAAUUACUAUUUUAACCUUUAUCAUCUUUACAAUUCCCAUGCAGGAAUCACAUUUUAUUUCGUAAAAUUUCUUUCUAAUCCUUCCUUGUUUUCCAUCUACUCUAUGUUAUUAACUUAACUUUUAAUUUUUACACUUUUGCCUCACUAUUUUUCAUUUUCCUGCAUUUUAGUCAUUACCUCAAAUCAAACUUUCCUAUCCCAAAAAUAUUUCUAAUUUCUAUUAGCUCUAACUACUUUCUAUACUUUUACCCUACAAUUCCUAUUUAAUCUAUUUCUAAAAAGUUUUUAAUUUUCCUAACGUGACACGCCAUUUAACCACACCCUCUAUACUUUGAUGAUGUUAUAUUUCUCCCCCUUUUAAAUAAAAAAUUUCAUCCUCAAAAUUUCACUUGAUUCAAACAGCUGUGGAUACUGCUACUUUUUUUUUUCUCAUAUAGCUUCUUCAACAUUAUAGUGCCUCCGCAACACUUUUACCUAGGGAACCGUUUAUUUUUUAAUUUUUCUACAUUCAUGUGGCUAGGAAUGGGUGCUAUAAGUUGGCACUUAUGCCUUUUAUUCCUCAAUUUGCAAGAAAUAUAUGAAUUUUAAGUAAAAGAAAAUGACAGUAAUAUGAAAACAACUAUAUGGCUUUUCGUUGUAGUGUCCGAUUAUUGGUUGGUCAUUUAUUUAUAUAUAUACACAUAUAAAUGCAUAUAUCACAAUUUUAAUGUGAAGCAAAAUUUUUAAAAAUAAAAUGUGAUUUGUGUGGAGAUUUCUGUAUCAAGAUAGAAUGUUAAUGCUAAAAUUUAAAAAUUGAAUUUAGAUUAGAGUUUUAAUUUUUAAAUUGACUUAAUAUAACUUUAUAAGUUGAAGUUUAUGAAUUAAAUUAUUAAACACUAUAAAUGUAAGUUUAAAUUAAAAUGAAUGAUUGAAUUGAUAAAAUUAAAAAGUAGAUUAACUGUUUUGACAACAUAAUGGCAUCACAUAUUUAGAUUCAAUCAUCAAUGGAAUCAGGUGUGGAGUGGGGUGUUAAUGGAAAUCUGGUUGGCUCAUGUUAACCAAAUGUAAAGAUAUCAUUUAAUAAUUUAGAUGGUAAUUUUCUGUCAUCAGUCACCCGAAUCGUAAGUGCAUAUAUAUAUAUAUAUAUAUAUAUAAAGGAAGUCCCAAGGGACCUCCUUUGUUGACAUACAGGCGCAUUAAUAUUAGUAUUUUUUUUAAAAUCACAAAAAAUAAGUUGAUUGAGUUUUAGUUCGAUUGAUAAGGGUAUUAUUGUCAAUACAGAAGGAUAUUAAUUUGAGUGUGUUGAAACGUAUUAUCUUUUUAUUUAUGGGUUGGGGAGAGAAUAUGAAUAAUUUUAGGCAUUGUAUCAAAAAGAGCACAUAUAAUAUUUUUAUUUUAACUUUUAACAUAAUUUGAUUUUAAUAUUUUUAUAAUGUUAUUAAUUAGUCUAAAUAGUUAAUAUAGUUAAUUUUUUAUUGAAAUAUUACAUAGUUAUAUAAUCACAAUCUAUAAUGAGAUUGUUAAAAAAGAUAAUAAAAAAUAGUUAAAUUUCACUUUGGUCCCUCUAUUAUGUCUAAAGUAAAAUUUAAUAUUUUUUAUUUUAAUUUUUAACAUAAUUUGAUUUUAAUAUUUUUAUAAUGUUAUUAAUUAGUCUAAUAGUUAAUAUCAUUAUUUUUUAUUAAAAUAUUACAUAAUUAUAUAUAAGAGUAAUUUUUUUAUUAUAUUUUUAUAUUUAUAUAAAAUUAUGGAUUCAAUUCUAUCAUAAGUACCAAGACAACAUGAACUUCCCAGAGGAUUAAAGCAUCACAACAAUUUGACAGCAAAAAAAAAAACAAAAAAAUAGCAGCACAGCAAUUGAGCCUUUAGCAACCAAAACUUUAGGGAGAUAUUAAGACCUAAUCCUGGGGUUCAACUUCAAAUGCAAGCAUUCUAAAUGAUGGGGUUUCCAAAAUUCUAUUAGUUCCUUGAAACAGAACCAAGGAAAGUCAGCUUCGACGAGCUCUUCAUAUAAUAAUAUUAGCUCUUGGGUCUAUAUUCACCCUUAGCAGAAAUGAGCUGGUUGCUCCAAAACUUGCACCACCACCCUCAACUGCUAUGAGUAGAGGAAGAGAGAUGGACCCAUGCCAAGCCAUCAUCUGAGUGGCAUCCUCUUUUGGAUUUUCUUUGAUACUUGGGGUUUGCUUCUACUAGAAUGAGUUCUUCUCUUUUCUUUUUCGUUUUCUCUUUUAAUAUGAUUUGAUAGAGCUGUCAUCCCCUUUUGUAUAGAGCUCUGCCAGAUCCCUAAAAGUAAAUUUAUACAUCUAUGGAUGACAAUCAUAUGGCCAUUACGGAUGGCAUUGUUUGCUAUAUAUCAUAGUUUUGAUAUGGGUUUGUUUGUAGCUUUAUCAUUGUAAUAGGGAUUACAUGUAAAAGGUGUGUUAUCUCAAUUAGUAUUUGCUUGUGCAGUGCUGUACACUGUAAUUGUUCGAGAUCACCUCAACUUUUGCAAUAAGAAAUAAAAAUAAAUCUGAAUUAUAAAGUAUAUAUAUUAUAUAAAAAUAUUGAAUUAUAAAAAAUUAUAAAAUGAAUUAAGUUAAAACAUACAAUACUAAAUAGUUUUUAGAAUUCUAUUUUAUAUUAGCGGUGUAACAAUAGUUUUUAAAUUUUAUUCUUUUAGGCUGCACGUUAAUGAUGUUUGGAGGAAAUAAAGAUUAUUGAUACAUUUUAAUGUUUUCGAUUUAAGCAUCAUAUACCUUAUUUUGUGUUAGGUGGUGCUCUUCUCAAUUUUUAAAUUUUAAUUUUAUUUUUGUAUUUAAUAUUUUUAUCAAAUUUUUAAAAUUUUUAUGUGUGUGGAGUCUAUCUCCAUCCUAAAACUUUAAACAUGUUAUUUCUUUAUCUGCGUGGGUUCACUCUCCUCGAGUUUUUAAAUUUAAUUAAUAUCAUUUUAUCAAUUUUUAAAUAUUUUUGUUUAUGUGCUUUUCAUUACUUCAUUUACUGCAUGGGUCACUUUCACCUUAAUUUAAUAUUUUUUAAUGAGUAUCUUUGAUUUUUAUUAAAUUAUUAGAUUUCGUUAUGUAUUUAAUAAAUAGUUUUAAUAUAAUAUUUUUCAUUUAUAUUUGGAUAAAAAAGAAUUUAAAGAAAAAUCUUUUUAUUUCUUUAAAUGAAAAAUGUAACUUUCUUAAUUCGUCCUAGAUGUUAAGCUCGAAUUCGAGAGAUUACAUUGGCCACUAAAAUGACCCAGUAGACUAUCGAAGUUUAUAAACAAUCAUUUUAAAACAAUCGCUUAUUUUAGAAGAAAACUUAGUUUAUUUUCAGAAAAAACUCAUGAGUUAACAAAAAA